GAGUUUGAUCUUGGCUCAGAUUGAACGCUGGCGGCAUGCCUUACACAUGCAAGUCGAACGGCAGCAUGAUCUAGCUUGCUAGAUUGAUGGCGAGUGGCGAACGGGUGAGUAAUACAUCGGAACGUGCCCUGUAGUGGGGGAUAACUAGUCGAAAGAUUAGCUAAUACCGCAUACGACCUGAGGGUGAAAGUGGGGGACCGCAAGGCCUCAUGCUAUAGGAGCGGCCGAUGUCUGAUUAGCUAGUUGGUGGGGUAAAGGCCCACCAAGGCGACGAUCAGUAGCUGGUCUGAGAGGACGAUCAGCCACACUGGGACUGAGACACGGCCCAGACUCCUACGGGAGGCAGCAGUGGGGAAUUUUGGACAAUGGGCGAAGGCCUGAUCCAGCAAUGCCGCGUGUGUGAAGAAGGCCU
Molecule: ribosomal RNA, 412 nt
Filed under: uncultured microorganism
Description: bacterial SSU rRNA
Rfam family: Bacterial small subunit ribosomal RNA
Source: RNAcentral